Pongo pygmaeus (Bornean orangutan) is the source of this 1319-nucleotide long non-coding RNA. RefSeq lists it as uncharacterized. The record is from RefSeq and is a predicted model, not a curated record. NCBI's taxonomy places the organism in Eukaryota, Metazoa, Chordata, Mammalia, Primates, Hominidae. The transcript has 5 exons.
UUAGGUUUGGGUUGCUCUUGGAUUUAAUCCUUUUGGAAUGUCUUGAGGGUCAGGAGCAUUGCCAUUGAUGGCUAUGGGAGUUGUCAGGCUGUGGCUCUCUUUCUCACAGAGAAUGCCAGAGGCACCCGGGAAGGCAUUUGCCAGGGCUCUGACAGAUGUAAAGUAAGCCUUAUCCAUGUUGUGUUUUCACCUGGACACCUGGAAGGUGUUCAGUAUAGAAAAGUCACGAGCUAGAUGAGAUACCAGCUUGAUGUCGACUCCCUCCCCAACAAUGGCUGCCUGUCUUCGUCUUGAUGCCUGCCAGCAGGUCAUUUCUAAGAGAAGAAGCAUUAGUAGAUCAAGAAAGGGCUAUAGAACCAAGGAAGAAGGAUGGGGAGAACAGGAGGAGAAGUGAAGGGAAGGACAGAGAAACUUGGAGAAUAAUAAACAACAGCAGAAGACAUCCUGGAGACCAAGACGAUAAAUGGUGUUAAGAAAAGAGGAACUGUCUACCAGGAAAGCACUUAGAACCUGGCUCACCUGAUUUUGCCGAUGAGUCAACUUCGAAGUGUGCCUCAUUCUGGAAAGUGAAUCAUGUAAUCACAAUGGAGUCUCACUCUUGUUGCCCAGGCUGGAGUGCAAUGGUGUGAUCUUGGCUCACUGCAACCUCCACCUCCCAGGUUCAAGCAGUUCUCAUGCCUCACCCUCCCAAAUAGCUGGGAUUACAGGUACCUCGGAUUAUCCUGACACGUCCUUCGACUUCUGAGGAUACUGACCCAGUAUUUCAAGACUGAGGUGACUCUGAGACAGAAGAUGGAGCCAGUGGCGAUGUCCUCCCUUAUUCAGACUCUUUGAAUAAUGCUUUUUACUCACCCUGCGGACUCUGCUAGAAAGACACUUUAAUAUUUUUGCCAUUUAUAUUUUUCUGUUAUUGAAAAAUAAUAGAAACCAGUGCCUUAGUCGGUUUAACAGUUGAACAAAGUUGUUUUCAAAAGAAGAAAGAAAAUGUAACUCCAUUUAGUUUGUCUUUCAUUUGCAAAUACUAACUGAAACUUGAGUUAGGGAUUGAAUAACUUGGAAACAGUAUUAAUAAAAUGAAGUCAUUGGCAUAUUAAAAAUGUCCUAGUGUUCACUUUAAGUGUAUUUUAAAAAACCUCACAGGCAAUGGUGUGAAAGGAACCAAGGAGAUGUUUACAUUCAUUAGUUCCACUGGAAAAAAAUGGUUAAUGUAAUUGUAUAGAUUUUUCCCUUCUUGUUUUGUGUACUGUAUAACCCAUUCUUUGCUUUAUGUACAAAUACCCUGGUUUCUAAAUGCUACUUAUUUUCUGCAGAAAUAAAGU